CCAAUAGCGUAUAUUAAAGUUGUUGCAGUUAAAAAGCUCGUAGUUGAACUUCGGGAUUUGCCCAUUGGUCAGGCUUAACUGUCUGCACUGGUGUGACGAGUUCCUACCUUCUGAGGAAUCUCCAUGUCAUUCAGUUGGUGUGGGGGGAAAUCAGGACUGUUACUUUGAAAAAAUUAGGGUGUUUAAAGCAGGCAUCCGUAUGAAUACAUUAGCAUGGAAUAAUAAAAUAGGACGGUUUGGUUCUAUUUUGUUGGUUUCUAGGAUCACCGUAAUGAGUAAUAGGGAUAGUUGGGGGCAUUAGUAUUCAAUUGUCAGAGGUGAAAUUCUUGGAUUUAUUGAAGACUAACUACUGCGAAAGCAUUUGCCAAGGAUGUUUUCAUUAAUCAAGAACGAAAGUUAGGGGAUCGAAGACGAUCAGAUACCGUCGUAGUCUUAACCAUAAACUAUGCCGACUAGGGAUCGGACGAAGUUAAUUUUUUAAUGACUCGUUCGGCACCUUACG
Molecule: ribosomal RNA, 502 nt
Filed under: uncultured Glomeromycotina
Lineage: Eukaryota; Fungi; Glomeromycota
Description: partial small subunit ribosomal RNA
Rfam family: Eukaryotic small subunit ribosomal RNA
Source: RNAcentral